Molecule: non-coding RNA, 9344 nt
Organism: Equus caballus (horse)
Lineage: Eukaryota; Metazoa; Chordata; Mammalia; Perissodactyla; Equidae
Source: RefSeq, a predicted model, not a curated record
GCAGUGCCAUGUCCACGCCCAGGAUUCGAACCAACGAAACACUGGGCCGCCUGCAGCAGAGUGUGCGACUUAACCACUCCGCCAUGGGGCCAGCCCCAUGGGAGCUUACACUUUUGAGGCAAUGACACCCAAUAAACAGAGAAACAAAGGGCCGUGAAGGGCACUGGGAAGUCCGGAAAGUGCCACGAAGAAACGGGAAGCAGCUGCCCGAAUGGACUAAGACAGGCGGAGUUCUGGCCAAUGGAGGGUGAGUGAAAGUGAUGUAGUGUCUACCACAAAAACCUGUAACACCUCCCUCACGAGUCUCCAUGUUCUCACGCCGUCAGGCUGCUGGCUGGAUGCAGAUGCCCCAGGCCAUUGUGGAAGCCAGUUACAGAUGGCAGGGGCUCAUCCCUUGAGGACUUUGUGGAACACCAGUUGGAUUUUAUAUGAAGAAAGACACUAUUACAUUAAGCCACUGAAACCUUGGGUUUGCAUAUCAGAGCAGCUGGUGUCACCUUCACUAAAGUGGAAUAGAAGCUGUGGGAGCAGAGGGACCAGAGCUGGGAGAGGGGUGGCGUGAGGCGGAAAGAGACCCAGGUGGGACCCGGGGAACACCAACGCUUAAAAGGUGGGUGAAGGGGAGUUGGCAGCAAAGGGGGCUGAGAAGGAGUUAGGAGGAGAGUGAGGGUAGAGGGGUGGGUAGAGAAGGAAUGCUAGGACCCUAUUUCACAAACGACCCUGGGUCAGGCAGGAGGUACAAGGAUGCACCCGAGUGAGUCCCUCUUCUCCAAGGGCAUGGAAGACGGGCCACCACAGUACCACACGGUAAUGCAACUCAGAGCAAGACGUAAGGUGAGUGGAAACCCAGGAAAGAUGCUCAGCCCAAAGCGGGCAGUGUGCCCGGCGCUCUGAGCAAGGGGAUUGACCCAGAGGUCUUGAAUUCUGGUGUAAUGGACCCCUCAGAAUCAGACAAAAGCUAAGGACGCUCUCCUCAGAGCAAUGCAUGCAUUCCGAAGUACGAAGAGUCAGGACUCCAAUGUAUCUUUUUGGGGAACACAGUUCACCCCAUACAUGCUGUGAGCGAAUUUGCUUUUCCCUAACAACACCCACCCUGAACACCCUCUGGACUGUGGCGUCCUCCCCAGAGCCCCCGGCAACUGCAGACCUGGCCAAGCAGGGAACUGUGGGUGCUUUCACAGCCCAGGACUGGGCAUGACUCCCCUCCAGGACGAUGUUGUGAGUGAGAAUGUGCUGGUAAUGUACAGCAUGCAGCUUAGAGUGCUGUGCUUGCUGCUCACCAGCCUGUAAUUUCCCCCAACCUCAGCAAGGAUGUCUUGGUGGCAGGGGCUGCUGAAUUCCAUCCCAGGAACGUGCGGAAGGAGGUGGCUCUGGUGCUCUGCUUUUGAGAGAAGAAGGAGGUCUCAGAAGCCAUGUGUUGAAGAUGACAGAGUCUGCAUUUGAAGAACUGUGUGGCCAAGAGCUCCACCCCCACCUGCCAGAACUGGACCUGCCGGGGACUGUCAAUAUGAGUGAGAAAUAAACUCAACUGUGUUUAUGCCAUUAUUAUUCUUGGACUUGUUGCAGCAUUAACUUACCCUGAUAAUACAGAGAACCACAAAGCUUGCAGGCCACAGGAUCUCUCAGCUGCCGUCUCCAGUUAGUCUGACACCUGUUCAGCAGUUUCAGCUCCCGGCCUGUAUCAGACGUGGAACCUGAACUUCUUGGAGAACAGUGCCCAUUUCGCUAGGCACAAACCAAGUCACUUUCCUCAGAUGACCAGGCUGUGGUGGCCUGAUGUCCCAUCUUGGGGAGCUAGGUCCCUGUAAAGUGCUUUGUCCACCCUUGAAGCUGGCCUACUUGCUCCUACCUGGGAUGUUGACCUCAGCUAGGACCACCUUUCUCCAAAGAGGUGGUACCCCUGUGUUUGAAGCCUGUUGUGAUCUUACGUCCCUGCCAAUGCACAAAAGACACCACCCUAGGCGAGGCUGGCUCAGAGAACACCAAGGAGGGCAGACAGGAAUGGGUUUCUCAGCUGCUGGCGGCCUGUGGCUGCCACUUAAGGCUGGACAUCCCUCCUUCUUGAGGAGGCUGGCUGCUGCGGUGGCAGGGGCUCGAAAAUGAUUAUGAAGGCUCUCUCGUCUCUGGGGAAGCCUAGAAAUGUUGGGUAUCUUUGACACAAGGGCCACUCAAAUCAGUUAAAACAAAACAAGGGGGCUCUAUUGGAAAGACACUGAGGAAAGCCCCAGAGAGUGGCAGCAACGGGGGUGUCUCUGAAGACCUCGGAAGCUGGAGUCAGGGAGGCGACGCCCCCGCUUCCAUGCCUUCAGCAGCUCCAGGCUGUGUCCUCCAGCCCCAUCACCUAGAGGUGACAGCCUUGGCAGAGAAGCCUCAGGGAGGUUCUGAUGGGUCUGGCUUGGCAAUCACCAGAGCCAGGAGAAGGGCUGUAGCCUGGGGCAGAGUCUGAGUGGAAGAAAUAAAGCUUUGCUUUCAUUAAAAUUCAGAAACAGCCAGAAGCACCUUUAUUCUAAAACGGUAUCUGCAGAGAAGAAUAGCAGCCUGAAUUACUUCUCUGCUGGGUCUUUCUUAGUAUGUGAAACAAAGGAAUCUGGGUUAGAUGGAAAAAACAAAGAAGGGCAGGAAUCUAGCGAGUUUGCUGAGCUUGUUUACGCCUGAAGUGAUCGGCGAUAGACGUAAUUCCUGAACCAUCAUUGCAUCCUGUACCACCCGUGUUUUAUGAUUUCACUCAGUUGUCUAAGAUGUGUUUUACAAGCUUAAUAUUUAUAAUGCUGGUGAUGGUGAUGAUAAUGACAAAAUAUAUUUUAUUGCUUCUAAGUUCCAGGCACAGUUCUUAAGUGAUUGAUAAUUCUUAAAUCCUCAAAAUAUUCCUAUGGAGUAAGUAUUAUCAUCCCAUUUUACAGAUGAGGAAACUGAGGCACAGAGAUAUUAAGGCUUAUCUUUUACAUGGGAAAGACAGACUGUUUGGAAAAAAAUGACAAGAAAAUUUCAUCUUUUUAUAUGGAGUGGCUGGACGACACUCAGAGAAAAUCUCUAAUGACAAAGGCCAGAGAAGAAUCUAAUUUAAUUGUACUUGGGACGUUUGCCUGAUGAGUCAGAUAAUCAGGGCUCUGUGGAGUCCAUGAGUUCAUUAAUAUUCUUCAGCUUUUCUCAUUAGCGUGAAGUAACCACACUAUUUUAAUAACCACAAUACUUCUUUUUUGGGGCCAAGGAAAUUGUUCCGUUUUAAAGAAGACUGAACAAAAGAGAUUUCUAUAAUUGUCAUUCUGCAUUUCUUACCUCCAAAGGGAAGACGUGUACUUUCUGAUUUCACAAUUUGUUACGAGGAGGUGGUGGAGAAGGUAGCAGAUCAGAUGUAGAUGGUGGCACCUGGUGGGGAAUCCACCUUGGAAGUGUCAGAGCCCAGUUCCACGCCGGAGGAGCCCUGGUUAGACAUGCCAGGGCCCGGGAGGUCUGCACUGGGAAACACAGGCCUUGGCAUAGGCUGGCUCAGAGGCCGUGCUGCCCGGCCAGUGACUCCUUCAAGGUGACAUUGGGCAGUACACAAAGAUGUCCUCCAGGUGGAUGGUGACCCCUUGCAGGAUCCCAUUUGUCACCCAUUAAAUGACAUGGGGGAUGGUGGGGGCAUCCCAUAGCUGAGGGUUGAUGACCAGGUAGCAAGCUAUCCAAAAAGUAACUGGGAAACUUUCUUGCAUUCUUGACCUCCGGGCUGUGCAUGCCCCUGAGGCCCUGUUUUAUGAAGAUCAUCCUGACAGUUCAAAGUUCAAUGAAAACACCUAGGAUCCCACAGAGUCACUCCAUCGAGGCGGUGGUAGUCUGGGCGGAGGUGGAGCUCCCCGUUUUCUCCACUUCAGAGAACACCAGGCCUUGUGGUGGCAGAGGGCUGAUGAUGCCACAGUCAGGAUUCUUUGGGUUGAAAUCCAAUAUGACAUAGUUUAGGCAGAAAGAGGAAUUUACUGGAAUCAACCAACAAACUGUAGGAAAUCCCACACAGCGGCUUCCAGGACCCGCAGCCCAGUGGGACUCUCUUCUCUCAGCUCUACUUCUCUCUCCCCCUGUGGUUUGUUCUCUCCCCCUGCAGACUUGGCUCCUCCACUCAUGGGAAACACCAAGAGUGGCGGCGCCCUGUAACAGUUAGGACUCUAGGAUGGCAAGGCAGUCCCACUAGGACCACAGGGUUGGAGGAAGGGAAGAGGCAGUCCCCGAGAGAAGGCAGACCAACAGGUGGUUGUGCCGUUCACCAAGGAACCUGGUUUGCCAGGGCCACAUUCUCUCUCCACGUCGGAUUAAGGUCAAGCCCUGUUCGAUUUGGCACAGAAGUUCCUGAACCGACAGGCAGCGCUGCUGCCCCAUUCAGGAGUGACAGAUGCAGGGUCUAGGGGGGCUCUGAGGUUCCAGUUGGGAACAGCCACAAGUAGAAAAUAACCUACAUGUCCACCAACUGAUGAGAGGAUAAACAAAAUGUCCUACAUAUGCACAACAGAAUACCGUCCAGGCAUAAACAGGAAUGAGGUACUGAUACGUGCUACAACAUGGAUGAACCUUGAAAACAUUGUGCUAUGAAAGAAGCCAGACACAAAAGGCCAACAUCGUAUGAUUCCUUUUAUAGGAAAUAUCCAGAGUAGGCCAAUGUGUAGAGAGAGACAGCAGACUAGUGGUUGCCAGGGCCUGGGGGAGGGAGGUGCGGGGAGUGGCUAGAACUAGGUAAUGAUGCUGGUUGCACAACAUUGUGAAUGUACUUGAUGCCACUGAUUUGUAAAUCUUUCAAUGGUUAAAAUGGUAAAAGUGAUGUUAUGUGUAUUUCAGCACGAUAAGAAUAGCAAGAAUAACAUAGGCUGACUUCAGACAAACAUGUCGGGGCUUGAAGCACCGAGACUCCAGUGAGGGGGCCUCCCACAGAGCUUUUGGAUGUCCCUCUAAGCAAGCUUGUCCACGCAGAAGCAGAGAGGCACUGGCUGGACAGGAGUGUUCUCUCACAGCCUUGAAUUGAUGCUCUGCCCCUGGAUCACAGCACCUGUGUGAGUUAAUAAUGUUUACUAAUCCUGUCGUUAUCUGUGCAUAGCACUGUUCUGGUGUAAAUAUUUUUAAAAGAUUUAAAUCUGUAGAUUACCAGUAUGUGGUGAGUUGAAUAACGGUUCCCAAAGAAAUCAGGCUCUAAUCCCUUGAAACCUGUAAAUGUUACCUUAUCUGGCCCCAAAUGUGAUUAAGCUAAGGAUUUUGAGAUGGGGGGAUUAUUCUGGAUUAUCUGGGUGGGCCCUAAAUGCCACCACAAGGACUCCUAUGAGAGGGAGGCAGCGGGGGACAUUACCGCAGAAGAGGAGAAGGCCACGCGGCCACAGAGGCGGAGACUGGCGUGAUGCAGCCAGGGAGCUAGAAGCUGACAUACGCCGGACAAGGCAGGAAGGGACUCGCCCCUGGAGCCUCACCCAGCGAAAACUGAUUUCAGACUUGCGGCCUCCAGAGUGAGAGAGAAUACAUUUCAGCUGUUUGAAGGCACCACACCUGCGGUGGCUUGUUACAGCAGCCACAGGAAACUAAAGCACAGUGACACACGGUUGUCAUUAAACUGUAAUCAGGAUAAUAUUGUCUUACCGAAAAUGCAAAAUUAAUGUGAUUUUGCUGCAAGGUUCUGACAUUUUGCAUCACUUGAAACUACAUCAAUCUUUUUAGUCUUUUGGGCAGAGAAAUAAAAUAUUUCAUCACUUGCAUGGGUACGCAUCAGAAGUACUAACUUAAUAAAAAGAACGUGUAGAAUAUGCCACAGUUUUAGAAAUCCUAUUUUGAUAUUUCUUGAUUUUUAAAAAAACUGACUGGGAGCCUCAGAGAAAGGAGGUGGCCUUGGCCUCUGAGAGGCCCUCGCUGGUCAGUACCAUGUGCUCCCACCCCCUGGGGAUCCAGUUGACACUGGUGCACUGAUGACCGUCGCUGGGUGUCCUGUGCACCAAGAGGGAUGAUCCCACAGGGCCUGGCCGGGUUCCCGUCUCACACGCCUGAGUCUCCAGCUGCCGAGAUUCCAUCUGUUGCCUGCGCGGCCAGGGCCCUGCAGAGCCACCAGGGGAUAUCCUGCACACGCAAGAGUGGGAACCUCUGCCUCAGGACUGGGAGGGAGAGGUGCCUAAACUUUGAGGACUCCAGCUGAUUCACACGCCCAGAGAGGCUUCCCGGCGAAUGACAGCCUGUGUAUCAGGCCAGGAGAGGGGCCCGGGCUGGGAUGGUGAGACUCGGCACCGCUCUUUCAGUUCACUGGAUCCCUUUUCUCAGCCAACCGACCCUGGCACGUUUCCCAAGGGAUGAAAACCCUGCGUGGGGGAGUGAGGUAAGUACAUCGGGGUCACACACUUCCGAGUUCGUGCCUCUCCAGGACCUCGAUGCUUCUGGAGCCAGAGCUGCAGUCUGAACUGGGGGAAUGAGGGAAGAUCAGAACUUCCAGAGACGUGAGGCCGAGGGUCAGUUUCCAGUAGAACAAAGCUGUUGAGGGAAAACGAAUAGGAAUUUAGAAACCGGGAAGGUGAGUCAAGGCUGGUGGUUCGGAAUGGAGACUGUGAAAAUGCCAGGCUGUCCAGAGGCCUGUUUGUAAGCCGUGCUCGCUGCGUGGUGCAGGAGCAGCUCUAGGGCAUUAAAAAGAAGGGUUCAGAAUGCCUCACUCAGCCGCCUAGUCCUCCAGGCUUGGUGGGGUGAGGUGGAGGAAUCUUCAUUUCUAACCAGCACUUCACAUGUUUCUAGUGUAUAUGCCUUAUGGGAGGACGUGUGUAUAUCUAUGUCUGUAUGUGCAUGUGUGUGUUUCAACACGGAUGUGUACCUAUAUUUGUGUGUGUUCGUAUACGUGUUAUCAGUGUGUAUAUGUAAACGUGUAUGUAUGUGUGUACUUGUGUGCAUGUAUCUAUGUGUCUUUAUACGUGUACAUGGGUUUGUGUUUAAGUGUGCAUGCGUGUGCACAUCUUUGUGUGGUGUGUUUUCCUAGGCAGACUCCAGGGGAGCUGGUGACUGGCCGGAAGGCGGAGAGAGGGAAGGGGGUGGUCAAGGAUAGCUGAUGAGCCUUGCCUGGGGACUCGGUGACUACGAUUCCAGGAGAGUGACUGGCCCACGUUGUAAAUGAUACUGCACAGCUGAGCACAUGUGCACACUAGUAGUUACACCAUUCCAAGUUACCAGGAGGGCAGUUUUGGUCCUAAGUCCAAACCCUGCCACAGAAAGAACCACCGUGGCCCGGCAAAGGAGCCCGAGGGGAGGCCCCCUCCAGUCGAAGCCUCUGGAGUUCUCUUCGUCCUCAGCAUCCUGCUCCUGGCUGGUCACACUGAGUGCAGAGCAGACAGCCUCCUGGGCUACGUUUCUUCCCAUCUAGACCCCAUCACCUGCAGAGCCCCUCACCGUACUUCUGAGGCUCUGGGCUGCUCUUGCUAACCCAUCUUAGCGAGUGUGGGGAAGAGUGUCUCUCCCACAGGCCCUGCUGUGGCUUCCGGCGACCCGCGGGGGCUCCUCUCUGCUUUGUCUCUGCACCACAUCCAGCCAUAGGAGGGCUGUGUGGACCACCCUGACUUAUGGCAGGAAGAGAACAACUUUCCAGUCCAGUGACAACUAGAAAGGUCUCCCCAUUGUGCAGGGAGCCAUCAACUCCACUUAAUUCCCCUCCCCUCCCCCCACCCACCAGUGGCCCAGGCUUAACCAUUUCAUAACCAGUGUAUACACCUGGUGACGCUGCUCUGUGGACCUUUGCCAUGGCUGCUUCCCCUCUGUUGGAGUCGAACAAGAGAGGGGCGGCAAAACCAGCCAGUGGUGGGGGCUUUAGCAGCAGGUCCUGCAAGGAUGCCUAGAGCCAACAGGGCCUCACAGGCCAGGGGUGGGCAGGGACAGAGCAAAGGAGAGCAGAAGCCGCAGCAGCACAGCGGGGAGUCCGUGAGGGGCUUGCCAUGCAAAUAAUAGAAACCCAGUUCAAGCAGCCGCUGCAUGCCCCAAGACACAGGCUGGUUGCUUGUCUCCUCUGUCCCCGCCCCCCGCCCCUGUCUGUCCUCCUGGCUGCUCCCCUGGGCUCUCAAGACGGGCUCCGUAGGGCCAGGCCUCAGACUCCGGCAAUGACACAACUUCUGUAGCUUUUGUCUCCUUUUAAAGAUGAAGAAAAUCCUUCUCCGGAGCCUCACAUUUCAUUGGCCAGAACUGCUUCACCUGCCCAUGCCUGACCAGUCAUUUGGCAGGGAAAACGAGCCAGCACGAUGGCUGUGGACCGAUUAGAAUUCACGCCCGUGGGCUUGGCGGUCCCGGUCUUCCCUGAGGAGCAGGGUGAACCAAGUUGGGGGCCAGUUCGUAGGAAGACAUGGGGGUGAGGGCGUUGGUCAGGCCACAGUGUCUGCCAGAGAGAGAACGAGGGGGCUAGGUGUUCAGGAACCACAUCGGAGUCCAAAAAAGGGCAGGCUUGAAGCUGAGCCAGAAUCCCUUGUUCCCUCCGCAUUGCUUUGACCCCAGCCGACUGCGGCCUAAGGUGACAUGGGCUGUUGGUAGUCCUGUCCUGGAUUAUUCCAAGGACAGUGGCCCACUUACGCUCUUGCUCACUGCCACCCUGGAAGUGGUUCUGAGUGAGCUUUGGGGAAGCAUGGCCACCACCGUCAUAAGGCAGGAGGCCCAAGGCCUGUGGACUCUGACGGAUGGCUGGGGUCUGGGGACGUCGAAGCAUGGUCGUGAGGGCGCUGGGAAGGAUGGAAGGGAGGCAGCCAAGGGAGGGGAGGCCCUCAGGGCUGUGGGUUCCAGUGAGUGUGGGGAGCAGAAGCAGGGUUUGAAGACCUGUGAGCAUCUCUGCCACCCAACUCAAAGGGGCCCCAGGGGCCUUUCCAGAGCAGGGAUCGGAGGGAGAGGACCAAGUCUCCUGGCGGGAAGAGAAGAAGGUGAGCACAGUCCGCUGAGUCCUUCUGCAGAUUUGAGGGACCUCAAGUUCUAAUGGGGACCUCCAGAGAUGACUGCUUGCAAAACACCUUGGAGCCGGGUACCUGAGUGUGGUUCACCCCCCGAGAUGUGCUCGUCCUAGACCCCAGAUCCUGUGGAUAUGUUACUCUACAGGGUAAAAAGGACUUUGCAGAUGAGACUAAGUUGGGAUCUUGAGAUGGGGAGGUUAUCCUGGUUCUCCAGGUGGACUCAGUGUAGUACAAGGAUCCUUCUAGGAGGGAGGCAGAAGGUCAUGGAGGAGAGAAGAUGCUACACCACUGGCUUUGAGGAUGGAGGAGGGGCCAUAAGUCAAGGAAUGUAGGCGGUUUCUAGAAGCUGGAAAAGGCUAGGCACAGAUUCUCACCAUAUUAGUUUCCUGUGAUUGCUGUAACACAUGACCUCAAAUUUGGUAGCUUAAAACCACAGAAAUUUAUUCU